Molecule: long non-coding RNA, 2038 nt
Organism: Eucalyptus grandis
Lineage: Eukaryota; Viridiplantae; Streptophyta; Magnoliopsida; Myrtales; Myrtaceae
Exons: 2
Source: RefSeq, a predicted model, not a curated record
UCUUGUCCGCACCCAAAAACUCUCUCUCUCUCUCUCUCGCUUGCUUCCUCGCUCGCUUGCUCUGGCUCUCGGCGAUUGCUCCUCGGCGCGGCGGUGACCGGCGAUCGAAUCGACCCCGAAGGUAGUCGCUCUCCCCCCGCCGCCGAAGCUCUUUCUAACUUGCUUCGAUCGAUCGAUCGAUCAUCGCCUUUGAGAUUGUCGGUCUUCUCUUUUCGGUUUGCGUGUUCAUAUGGUUGCGUAGACGGUCCGAUCAUGAUCGCGUGCCGCGGAAUUCUCGAUUAUCCGGCUCCGAUCACCUGUCGUGAGGAUAAGUUAGGCGAUGCCUUCGCGAUCCUUUCGAAAUCGAGGGGUCUCCGGUCGUUUUGCGGGGGUUCGUUUCUAGCUGCCGCGUUUUGCCUCAUUUUUGUGAUUUUGUGCCCGAACCGUGGCUUGAAUCGCGAGGAAAUCCGGUGGCGUGAACCGUGAGGAUCUGUUAGCUUUGGGUUUUUGGAUGUGAGGAGUUGGUUUAUUUUCCGUAUCCUGGCUUUAUGUUUUCCCCCCGCCUCCCUUUAAUUGAUCGUUUCAUCCGUCGUAAGAAGUUUUUCCUCCCACUGGGUUGGUCAUCGCUGGGCUGAGGUCGGCUGAUCCUGAUUUUACCUCGAGGAUGGCAAUUAUAAACACUGCCGGUACUCUAUUGGUCGUAGAAAUUGCUAUUUAGAACCCUUUACCUUGUUGUUUUCAUCUUUCUCCUAGGCUAUAUGCUACGGCUUUGCUGUUAUGAAUACUCGAAAAGUUACACCAUCAGUUACAAGAUCCUUGCUCUCUCUCUCUCUCUGGCUCUGUCUUUGAGAUGUAGUCAGGGUGGUGGAUCAUCGAUACUGGGAAGGUUUCUAUGUGGGGAGGGUUUAAUAUCACAAUAGGAUUACUCUACACGAUGAUCAUUUUGGAUGUCGUGGAAUGUUUAAACUGAAGAUUGAUGGCACAAAUGGAAAUGCGAUGAUUAAGACAACCGGUAGUAUUCAUUCUAUUUAUCUUCAUCUAACAUUUCUUUCUGGUGUCUCUAUGCAAAAUCAGUGGCGACGAUGAUCAGUCAAUUACUCACAUAGAAAGCCAGUUGCUCAGGCUUUAGACUAUCAUGUUACCUCCAAGAGGCCUUAAAAUUAGCAGCACCUAUCGCACACAAAGAAUGCCCACUUGUGCUUUUUUCUGAACAUCUGCUGGUUUAUUUGUCUAAUAUGGACAUUUUUUUUUUUCCAAUUAGAUACUCAAAUAGAAAGCCCUUCUCUUAGGCUUGAGAGUAUAUUAACAUCUUCACAUAGGCCAACAAGUAUAAGUACCUCCCCAGCGCUUAUGGUUUUGUGGUUAUAUACCAGUUUCAUGUCAAUUCAAGUGGACGUAAUAUUUACUUAAUCAUUGUUUUAUGAUGCAGAUAAAAGUGUACAUUUGAUUUAGUUUUUCAAAUGCCUGAUGAAUGUAGAGUUGUAAAAAAUACUGAAGUCAUUGGAAAUAAAAUCACAGAGGAUGUCAUGGUGCGUGGACUAGGCUUAUAGUAUCUCCCAGCCCUAAUGUUGCAAGUAUGAUGGUUUGAUAUCAUUGGGACCUAGAGUUAAAUUGAAUAUCCUUUGGCAUCGACUAGGUUUGCCUGUUUCUGUUGUGCAGGUUUUGUUGGGUACGGGUGGUAUGAUUUUUCUUGCUUGACUUUUAUUAUGUGGAGAAUUUGGAAGGACAUGUCUACAAAUACAGGGGCGUUUUCUAUUAGCUUGACGAUGGUUGUAUAAAGGAAGUCCAGUUGACCAUGUUCACAAGGCUACCCCUUUCUAGGAGUUUCUCUGUCUCUUUGUAUUAGUGAACACACGCUUGAAGAAAAGAUAGUGACCACCCUGACUCUGCUGGUGGGCUUUUUGAUGGUUGUUUUGUCAAUAUUGGAGAGACACGUAUUUAAUACUAUGUGCUUCUCACGGAGAAUAGAUGUACCAAUCUUACAGGGAAUGAAAAUGUGUGCGGUAUUUGGAAAUUUCGUUAUUCUCUAUGUAAGUUUGUCAAUUCCAUUAUCAGGUUA